UGGGGAAUAUUGCACAAUGGGCGCAAGCCUGAUGCAGCCAUGCCGCGUGUGUGAAGAAGGCCUUCGGGUUGUAAAGCACUUUCAGCGGGGAGGAAGGCGGUGAGGUUAAUAACCUCACCGAUUGACGUUACCCGCAGAAGAAGCACCGGCUAACUCCGUGCCAGCAGCCGCGGUAAUACGGAGGGUGCAAGCGUUAAUCGGAAUUACUGGGAGUAAAGCGCACGCAGGCGGUCUGUCAAGUCGGAUGUGAAAUCCCCGGGCUCAACCUGGGAACUGCAUUCGAAACUGGCAGGCUAGAGUCUUGUAGAGGGGGGUAGAAUUCCAGGUGUAGCGGUGAAAUGCGUAGAGAUCUGGAGGAAUACCGGUGGCGAAGGCGGCCCCCUGGACAAAGACUGACGCUCAGGUGCGAAAGCGUGGGGAGCAAACAGG
RNAcentral lists this ribosomal RNA (429 nucleotides) under Chloroflexota bacterium. RNAcentral's name for it is "Chloroflexi bacterium partial 16S ribosomal RNA". It matches the Rfam family "Bacterial small subunit ribosomal RNA", at positions 355 to 776 of the family's 1533-position model. Lineage: Bacteria; Bacillati; Chloroflexota. The record is from RNAcentral.